This is a long non-coding RNA of Venturia canescens, 697 nucleotides long. RefSeq lists it as uncharacterized. NCBI's taxonomy places the organism in Eukaryota, Metazoa, Arthropoda, Insecta, Hymenoptera, Ichneumonidae. The record is from RefSeq and is a predicted model, not a curated record. The transcript has 3 exons.
CGCGGCGAAUUGUGUUUUUUGACUGGCCUCUAAAAAAAGCUCGUUUUCGUGACGGAAACGAGAGACGACGCGGAAUGCCCGGAUGCUGCUCAAUCCUUGCAGCGUCUCGUUGAAAUUGAUAAACCGGUGCGAGAGGUGCCAGUAACAAAAAUAUCCAGGGAAGACUGUAAGCAGUAACGACGAUUGAUCCUAUCAAGGCGAAAGACUGUGCCAGCAAGAUAUUCGCGAUGAAAGGUAGAGAAUCGUCGAUGGUGUAUGAUAUUCGUAAGUAAAAACCAACUUUGUGAACGUCGAUGUUGAGAUUUUUCAACGUGAACACACGUUCCCCCUCAAAUGUGACGACUUUCUUGCUGCUCGACGUCGAAGGAGCCGGAGAUUCGGGAACUUUAGUCACAGUUUGAUCAUCGUGAUUGUCACUUACGAAGAAGGAGGCGUUUUUCAGCAUAAUAUCAACACCUGGAGGCGGAUUCGCAUAAUAUGUCGAUAUAUCCAAAUCUGGUAACUGUAAAUUGUUAAUUCGUCAGUUUCACCUCUCGUAUAUACUGCUGCCAAAAAUGUGCAUUUCUUAUUUUUAAAAAUGUAUCCAAUUAGACUUUAGUUGGUCAGAAGUUUGACAACAAAUUUAAAAUAUCCAGCGGGACAACCGAUGACUUUGCCGACAACAACCAAGUGCUUUAUUAAAAUUUAUUCAAAAUCA